RNAcentral lists this ribosomal RNA (488 nucleotides) under Limosilactobacillus fermentum. Its description in RNAcentral is "bacterial SSU rRNA". It matches the Rfam family "Bacterial small subunit ribosomal RNA", at positions 83 to 556 of the family's 1533-position model. The record is from RNAcentral. Lineage: Bacteria; Bacillati; Bacillota; Bacilli; Lactobacillales; Lactobacillaceae.
GGUCGCCAACGAGUGGCGGACGGGUGAGUAACACGUAGGUAACCUGCCCAGAAGCGGGGGACAACAUUUGGAAACAGAUGCUAAUACCGCAUAACAGCGUUGUUCGCAUGAACAACGCUUAAAAGAUGGCUUCUCGCUAUCACUUCUGGAUGGACCUGCGGUGCAUUAGCUUGUUGGUGGGGUAACGGCCUACCAAGGCGAUGAUGCAUAGCCGAGUUGAGAGACUGAUCGGCCACAAUGGGACUGAGACACGGCCCAUACUCCUACGGGAGGCAGCAGUAGGGAAUCUUCCACAAUGGGCGCAAGCCUGAUGGAGCAACACCGCGUGAGUGAAGAAGGGUUUCGGCUCGUAAAGCUCUGUUGUUAAAGAAGAACACGUAUGAGAGUAACUGUUCAUACGUUGACGGUAUUUAACCAGAAAGUCACGGCUAACUACGUGCCAGCAGCCGCGGUAAUACGUAGGUGGCAAGCGUUAUCCGGAUUUAUUG